Molecule: long non-coding RNA, 465 nt
Filed under: Amborella trichopoda
Lineage: Eukaryota; Viridiplantae; Streptophyta; Magnoliopsida; Amborellales; Amborellaceae
Description: long non-coding RNA (ATRI_LNC002332)
Source: RNAcentral
UUAAACCGCUGCAUAUAUAUGUUAAAGACUCGGUGGAGUGCUCUAAGACUCGCCUCCGGCUGGUAGCCAAGACGAGCUCGGAUUUCUGAUAAAAAAUUAAUUAAAAGUCCAAACCUCUAUUUGCAACAUAAAAGUUGAAUUUAGGCAUUUUUCCCCUCAUUUGUUUGACCAGAAAGCCUGGUUAUUUACUCAAACCUCCUCGACAUAGAUUUCUAUCUUGUUUAUUCAAAUCAAACCUGGUGCUAAUUGAUCCUGAUUCCGUCUUCCAAAAGACCCCUAUACACAAAAAUCAUCGGUUCAUGUGAGUAAUAUGAGUUUAUUCUUCAAAUACUAAGCAAUCCACCAUUGCAUCGAUUUCUCCCUCUUUUUUUGCUCAAAUUUAUUGAAACUGCGUUACCUUUUCAUUAUGAUUCAACUCUCUGCAAUAGCCCCAUACUGAUUUGUUUGAUCAGUGGCUCAAAAUUU